GACACAAUGACGUCAAAUGAAUCGAGAGUGCCUAAAGGGAAAGCUUGUACUUCAGAGCCUAGGCAUCCUCUUCCCAGGUCACUGUUUCCAAGCCACAGAACGUGGCCGCCCUGAAAAUAGAGAUACCAGGUGGCUUCUGUGCGCAGAACACUAUCUUAUCCCAGGGACCGAGUUUUCCCAUUGCCCCAUGUACGUACUGAGUCUAUUCACUCAUUUUUAACGACAACAUUGAAAUGUGUUACGAAAAUAUGCCUCGUGCCCUCUGAGGUCACCUCGAAGUUAGCCAGUGCAACGUCUCACCUUUCUAUCAGUGAAGGAAAGGAUGAUGUCUCGUGACUCUGCCAUCGGGAAUGAGGUAUGGGCUUCGGUCAGGAGACUUGGAAACUGAAAACAUACACAGAGUAAUUGAUUGUAGUGAGAGUGGUUUGCACAGCACCCCUCACACACUCUCGCCCCUGCCACUUGUUUUGUAGCUGGGGGACAGAGAGCAACAACUAAUCAGGCAGCCAGAGGUGCAGCAUAUUGCAAAGUGCUCACAGAUGUAUUUUUUUUUCCACCCUCAUGCAGGACCCGCUGACGGUCAUGGUGACUGCAGCAGAAUGUCAUAACCCAGCAGGUGGUUGUCUUGGUAACUAAGACUGAUGACACUGAUCCCAGGACAAAGUAUCUUUCUCUGUUACUUCUGAGUUCCACUACCUUUUUUUUUAAAAAAAAACAAACACAAAACAGCUGUGAUCUUCUGAAUAAACCAUUCCCACUCCUAGGGCGAACUCACUCUGGGCUUCUGUGGUCAGAUUGUGCUCUGCCACUUGUCUGCUGUGUGACUUUAGGCAAGUCACUUAACUUCUCUGUGCCUCCGUUCCCUCAACUGUAAAAUGGGGAUUAAGACUGUGAACCCCACGUGAGCUAACCUGAUUACCUUGUAUCUACCCCAGAG
This 937-nucleotide long non-coding RNA is filed under the name Ornithorhynchus anatinus (platypus). Its description in RNAcentral is "lncRNA (ENSOANG00000037150.1)". The record is from RNAcentral. Lineage: Eukaryota; Metazoa; Chordata; Mammalia; Monotremata; Ornithorhynchidae.